UACGGAGGGUGCAAGCGUUAUCCGGAUUCACUGGGUUUAAAGGGUGCGUAGGUGGGCAAGUAAGUCAGUGGUGAAAUCUCCGGGCUUAACCCGGAAACUGCCAUUGAUACUAUUUGUCUUGAAUACUGUGGAGGUCAGCGGAAUAUGUCAUGUAGCGGUGAAAUGCUUAGAUAUGACAUAGAACACCAAUUGCGAAGGCAGCUCACUACGGGAUCAUUGACACUGAGGCACGAAAGCGUGGGGAUCAAACAGG
Molecule: ribosomal RNA, 253 nt
Filed under: uncultured bacterium
Lineage: Bacteria
Description: partial 16S ribosomal RNA
Rfam family: Bacterial small subunit ribosomal RNA
Source: RNAcentral